This 305-nucleotide ribosomal RNA is filed under the name uncultured bacterium. RNAcentral's name for it is "bacterial SSU rRNA". It matches the Rfam family "Bacterial small subunit ribosomal RNA", at positions 333 to 655 of the family's 1533-position model. The record is from RNAcentral.
GUAGGCCUACGGGGGGCAGCAGUGGGGGAUAUUGCACAAUGGGGGAAACCCUGAUGCAGCGACGCCGCGUGAGUGAAGAAGUAUUUCGGUAUGUAAAGCUCUAUCAGCAGGGAAGAAAAUGACAGUACCUGACCAAGAAGCCCCGGCUAACUACGUGCCAGCAGCCGCGGUAAUACGUAGGGGGCAAGCGUUAUCCGGAUUUACUGGGUGUAAAGGGAGCGUAGACGGCAGCACAAGUCUGAAGUGAAAUGCCGGGGCUUAACCCCGGAACUGCUUUGGAAACUGUGCAGCUAGAGUGCAGGAGG